This 790-nucleotide ribosomal RNA is filed under the name uncultured bacterium. Its description in RNAcentral is "SSU rRNA". It matches the Rfam family "Bacterial small subunit ribosomal RNA", at positions 70 to 853 of the family's 1533-position model. The record is from RNAcentral.
GGGGUAGUGCUUGCACUACUGCCGGCGAGUGGCGAACGGGUGAGUAAUAUAUUGGAACGUACCGAGUAAUGGGGGAUAACUUACCGAAAGGUAAGCUAAUACCGCAUACGCUCUAAGGAGGAAAGCGGGGGAUCUUCGGACCUCGCGUUAUUCGAGCGGCCAAUAUCUGAUUAGCUAGUUGGUGGGGUAAAGGCCUACCAAGGCGACGAUCAGUAGCGGGUCUGAGAGGAUGAUCCGCCACACUGGGACUGAGACACGGCCCAGACUCCUACGGGAGGCAGCAGUGGGGAAUUUUGGACAAUGGGGGGAACCCUGAUCCAGCCAUGCCGCGUGUCUGAAGAAGGCCUUCGGGUUGUAAAGGACUUUUGUUCGGGAAGAAAAGAGUAGUGCUAAUACCACUGCUUGAUGACGGUACCGAAAGAAUAAGCACCGGCUAACUACGUGCCAGCAGCCGCGGUAAUACGUAGGGUGCGAGCGUUAAUCGGAAUUACUGGGCGUAAAGCGAGCGCAGACGGUUAGUUAAGCAAGAUGUGAAAUCCCCGGGCUCAACCUGGGAACUGCGUUUUGAACUGGCUAGCUAGAGUAUGUCAGAGGGGGGUAGAAUUCCACGUGUAGCAGUGAAAUGCGUAGAGAUGUGGAGGAAUACCGAUGGCGAAGGCAGCCCCCUGGGAUAAUACUGACGUUCAUGCUCGAAAGCGUGGGUAGCAAACAGGAUUAGAUUCCCUGGUAGUCCACGCCCUAAACGAUGUCGAUUAGCUGUUGGGCAGCUUGACUGCUUAGUAGCGUAGCU